This 383-nucleotide long non-coding RNA is filed under the name Polistes fuscatus (common paper wasp). RNAcentral describes it as "uncharacterized LOC122525417". Lineage: Eukaryota; Metazoa; Arthropoda; Insecta; Hymenoptera; Vespidae. The record is from RNAcentral.
CCGUCAGCAGUCGAGCCGUGUGCCGCGUCGCGGUAGCGUCGAAGAGCGUCGUUGAGCGUCGUUUGGUGCGCGUCUCGCGUGUCUCUUCGUCGUGUCGUGCGCGAGGAUGAUGACGCCUUCCUCGAUCUCGCGAUUAUGAGAGCGCCGGCGAGCCUAGUCUCGUCAAUAUUGUUUCGUGCUUAUUAUUUGUGAAAUAUAUCUUCGAUAGAGAAGAACGAAACGAUUUGAGGAAUUAGACGGUGUGUACUCGUGUAUCUAUUUUUUAUUUUUAAAUAAUCGUUGUUGCUGUCUCGUGAUCGUCGGUGAACGUUCUUCUACGCGACCGCGUGACCUCGUCGGUCUUCUCUACUCCGUGCGAAGGAGCGAGAGAGAACGGAAACAAA